GUGAAUAAGCCAUGUGAAGAUGCAGGCAGUCCAGCUAUUAGCAUGUUUAUCAGGACAAAUAGCAUGCUGGAAGAACGCCUGCACAGAGCGGCGGCUUCUAUUUCUUUCCAGAUGGUACCAGCAGGAUUUAAGAAUACAAAGUGUUUGGCCAGGAGCUAGACCAAGCAACAGGGUUUCUAAACCCAUGUCUUGGGAUUGCUCAACAUGAUGUGGGUUUCUGCUGUGUAAAUACACGAUUUUACAAGGCUGAGCUGCUGGGUGGUGCUGUGAGGCACUGAGCUCCUCUUGUCCCAUGCUCAGUCCUGCCUCUGCCUUGCCUCUGGCUCCUUACCUAUUUUUAGUUUUCAAAUUUCUCAUUGCUGUCCAAGUUUCUACCUCUAAACGUAUAUUUCCCUUUCCAGAGGGAGAUGGAUACGUCUGUCUUCCAGUUUCCUUUGCUUGUCCUGCCUACCUUCACCCUAGUCUGACUGUCUCUGUGGGGAGCACACUCCAUGCUCCCAUUUCCUUCUCCUUGACUCUUUGCUCAGUUAUAUCACAUUUUCUCCUUUCCUCUACACAUUCUGCAGGUUCCCAUCAGGUCUCAUUAUUCCUGGGCCCACCCCCAGUGCUUCUCCUGCCUUCCCUUUGGUGCAUCUCUUUGCCUUUGUCUGGACAGAUCUAUACUGAGGGGGCCCAGCCAGGAGACUGCAGACGUGGGGAUGCUCUGGUGUCUUCUCAAGGAUUUUGUUCUGAUGGAGACAGACUUGCUGCUCUUGUCCAUAUGUGA
This 766-nucleotide long non-coding RNA is filed under the name Anas platyrhynchos platyrhynchos (common mallard). RNAcentral's name for it is "lncRNA (ENSAPLG00000026420.1)". The record is from RNAcentral. Lineage: Eukaryota; Metazoa; Chordata; Aves; Anseriformes; Anatidae.